AGUGAACGCUGGCGGUAGGCCUAACACAUGCAAGUCGAACGGCAGCACAGUAAGAGCGUGCUCUUACGGGUGGCGAGUGGCGGACGGGUGAGGAAUACAUCGGAAUCUACUUUUUCGUGGGGGAUAACGUAGGGAAACUGACGCUAAUACCGCAUACGACCUACGGGUGAAAGCAGGGGAUCUUCGGACCUUGCGCGAUUGAAUGAGCCGAUGUCGGAUUAGCUAGUUGGCGGGGGAAAGGCCCACCAAGGCGACGAUCCGUAGAUGGUCUUAGAGGAUGGGCGGCCGCUUUGGGAGUGAGACGCGGCCCAAACUCCUACGGGAUGCAGCAGUAGGGAAUCUUCGGCAAUGGACGAAAGUCUGACCGAGCACCGCCGCGUGGGUGAAGAAGGUUUUCGGAUCGUAAAACCCUGUUGGUAGGGAAGAACGUUGGUGAGGGUGGAAAGCUCCUCAAGUGACGGUACCUACCCAGAAAGGGACGGCUAACUACGUG
Molecule: ribosomal RNA, 493 nt
Filed under: uncultured bacterium
Lineage: Bacteria
Description: partial 16S ribosomal RNA
Rfam family: Bacterial small subunit ribosomal RNA
Source: RNAcentral